ACAUUCCUGCGGGAGGCAGCAGUGAGGAAUAUUGGACAAUGGGUGGAAGCCUGAUCCAGCCAUCCCGCGUGCAGGAAGACGGCCCUAUGGGUUGUAAACUGCUUUUAUCUGGGGAUAAACCUACUUACGUGUAAGUAGCUGAAGGUACCAGAAGAAUAAGCACCGGCUAACUCCGUGCCAGCAGCCGCGGUAAUACGGAGGGUGCAAGCGUUAUCCGGAUUUAUUGGGUUUAAAGGGUCCGUAGGCGGACUGAUAAGUCAGUGGUGAAAUCCGACAGCUUAACUGUCGAACUGCCAUUGAUACUGUUAGUCUUGAGUAAGGUUGAAGUGGCUGGAAUAAGUAGUGUAGCGGUGAAAUGCAUAGAUAUUACUUAGAACACCAAUUGCGAAGGCAGGUCACUAAGUCUUAACUGACGCUGAUGGACGAAAGCGUGGGGAGCGAACAGGAUUAGAAACCCGUGUAGUCCCAUGA
RNAcentral lists this ribosomal RNA (471 nucleotides) under uncultured organism. RNAcentral describes it as "partial 16S ribosomal RNA". It matches the Rfam family "Bacterial small subunit ribosomal RNA", at positions 333 to 800 of the family's 1533-position model. The record is from RNAcentral.